AUUACAUUGUUACUGACGCAAGCAGGAAAAAAAUCCAUCAAGCUGGCGAUAAUCGUCGAGAAGAAAAAUCUAUCAUGUGUCAAUUUCACUGAUAAACUGCCGACACGCAAUGAACAGAAACUUAUUGCUGAGAAGUACAAGAUGUGAUUCAUUUGAAUAAGAGAAGGUUUUUGGUUACCGGGAAACAGGAAAAAAGGCAUAAAGUACCAGAGUUUUGAAGAAGAAUUGACUAUGUCUAGCUAAAAAAAAGACUGACAUUGAAAGAGAUGUAUACGUAGUGAAAGAGGGGAGAGGCAAAAAGAAUAAGGGUAGUGCUAUCAGCAAAUGAUCAAAGCAGCUGGUARAAGGAAUCCACUUUGUUGAAGUACUCAGAGUUCACUGACUUUGCAGCAGAUAAGUAUCAAAAAACGAAACUUUUGUAAGUAGACAAAAAUUUCACUUUUUGAAAAUAUAGUUUAAUUCAUAAUAUCAAUCGAAAUAAUAAUAUUUUGUUUUCAAAAUAUGCGGAUACGUAUGGACAUGGUCUUAGUACAAAGGCGGCGGUGUUGCGAGAUAAAUUAUAUGCGCGUUUCUCAAAAGUUUCAGGUGCAAAAGGAUAAAGUAGCUCUAUUUUUUCGUAACAUUAUGUCGCCAGAAAGAAAGAUACCUCCCCGCUCAAUUCAACCUAGAAACUCUGGCGAAAAAUUGUCAUGAAACAUUAUUUCAGCAAACAGAAGCAUACAAGUUCCAUCUAAAAGAUUCACCAUUAGACGCUGUACAUGGUUUGCGUAUUGCUCCAUCGGAGUAUAAGAACCAAACUCAAAAGUAAACGCAUAAAAAAACGAUAAACAAAAGCACUAAGAAACGAAGAAAGAAAAAGUAGAAGAAGAAGUAGAAGAAAAAGAUACCUAUUUUAACUGGCCAUCGUCUAUAAUUUAUUUCACAGCUUGUCGAGAAAAGAUGGAUUUUUCCUGUUACUGUAGCUUGAUAAUUUUUACCGUAACCAUGACGACAACAGCUCAAGCUUUGUGUCCAUCACCUUGUUAUUGCUAUUACUACAAAAUAUAUUAUGUCACUUAUUGCAAUGGAAAAGGAUUAACAUUGAAUCCGAAUGAAACGUUUGAUCAUAAAACCCAUUACUUAUACCUGAUCAAUAAUACAAUGACGUCAGUACCAGAAGGGAUCUUCGAUAACACGAAGAAUCUUCUCCUCUUGUCUUUCGUUGGGAAUCAAUUGAGCUCACUGCCAAAUGGACUGUUUCAAAACAACAAAUUUCUUGCAGUGCUG
Actinia tenebrosa (Australian red waratah sea anemone) is the source of this 1266-nucleotide long non-coding RNA. NCBI's taxonomy places the organism in Eukaryota, Metazoa, Cnidaria, Anthozoa, Actiniaria, Actiniidae. The record is from RefSeq and is a predicted model, not a curated record.